RNAcentral lists this ribosomal RNA (465 nucleotides) under Vreelandella stevensii. RNAcentral's name for it is "partial 16S ribosomal RNA". It matches the Rfam family "Bacterial small subunit ribosomal RNA", at positions 338 to 795 of the family's 1533-position model. The record is from RNAcentral. Lineage: Bacteria; Pseudomonadati; Pseudomonadota; Gammaproteobacteria; Oceanospirillales; Halomonadaceae.
CCUACGGGGGGCUGCAGUGGGGAAUAUUGGACAAUGGGGGCAACCCUGAUCCAGCCAUGCCGCGUGUGUGAAGAAGGCCCUCGGGUUGUAAAGCACUUUCAGUGAGGAAGAACGCCUGGUGGUUAAUACCCAUCAGGAAAGACAUCACUCACAGAAGAAGCACCGGCUAACUCCGUGCCAGCAGCCGCGGUAAUACGGAGGGUGCGAGCGUUAAUCGGAAUUACUGGGCGUAAAGCGCGCGUAGGUGGCUUGAUAAGCCGGUUGUGAAAGCCCCGGGCUCAACCUGGGAACGGCAUCCGGAACUGUCAAGCUAGAGUGCAGGAGAGGAAGGUAGAAUUCCCGGUGUAGCGGUUAAAUGCGUAGAGAUCGGGAGGAAUACCAGUGGCGAAGGCGGCCUUCUGGACUGACACUGACACUGAGGUGCGAAAGCGUGGGUAGCAAACAGGAUUAGAUACCCUUGUAGUC